AUAUUAUUAUUUUUGACGUCUUACUUUAUAUGUUGUUUCAUCUGAUAUUUCACCAUCUCCGGUUAUUAACCAAUUUCGAGGCGGGAUAGGAUCUACUGGAGCACUCGGGCACUCCCAAUAGGAGAGUCGGUGGAUUGUAUUAUAAUAAAGUGUUAUCAAGGAAA
Molecule: long non-coding RNA, 164 nt
Organism: Bombus terrestris (buff-tailed bumblebee)
Lineage: Eukaryota; Metazoa; Arthropoda; Insecta; Hymenoptera; Apidae
Exons: 2
Source: RefSeq, a predicted model, not a curated record